Molecule: ribosomal RNA, 182 nt
Filed under: uncultured Sphingomonadales bacterium
Lineage: Bacteria; Pseudomonadati; Pseudomonadota; Alphaproteobacteria; Sphingomonadales
Description: partial 16S ribosomal RNA
Rfam family: Bacterial small subunit ribosomal RNA
Source: RNAcentral
GGUUCGGAUAACAGUUGGAAACGACUGCUAAUACCGGAUGAUGACGUAAGUCCAAAGAUUUAUCGCCGAGGGAUGAGCCCGCGUAGGAUUAGCUAGUUGGUGUGGUAAAGGCGCACCAAGGCGACGAUCCUUAGCUGGUCUGAGAGGAUGAUCAGCCACACUGGGACUGAGACACGGCCCAG